This is a long non-coding RNA of Musa acuminata AAA Group (dessert banana), 1111 nucleotides long. RefSeq lists it as uncharacterized. NCBI's taxonomy places the organism in Eukaryota, Viridiplantae, Streptophyta, Magnoliopsida, Zingiberales, Musaceae. The transcript is spliced from 3 exons. The record is from RefSeq and is a predicted model, not a curated record.
CUUACUGUCAUCUCUCUGUCGCUCUCUCUCAAACAUGCCCAAUCCAGAUAAAUAAAGGGCGGGAAACCCUCCUCCUCCAUCUAAUUCCAUCGCAUUCUUGCUCUUCGCCGCUCUCCCUCGACUCGAAGGUUUUGCCGAUCUACCAUGGGGCUUCACCUUCGAUGCCACCAUGUUCCUUCCGAGGCUGUGCCUCCGACCUCAUCGUGGUUGCCAACCCCGCCAUCAUCCAGAUGGCGAUCCAGGCCACCAUCGACUCGAUCUUGCUUAGCCCAAUCCAGGGACAAAACCUCGGUUCUCUUUAAACAUCCCGUCGCACAUAAAUGGACGGCCAGCUUUAGGUCGUCACGAAGGGCAGUUAAGAAGGGAAGGAGAUCCCACCCGAAAUUAAGAAUACUAUUCCUCGAAGACAGUUUUCUCCGAGGAAGCGAGAAAGCUUGCCGGACAAUACCCCUACCCACCGUCAGCCCGGUGGGACUCACGCGGUGAGGAACGGGUGCGGACGCUGCGAUGUAUCCCCUGGUGGAUAAGCAUUGAUUCCCCACGCGAUUGACGGUUACCCGCCGGAAGGCCCGCCUGCCUUGGCAAGAAUUUAGUCUCGGGCCCACUGGUGGGCCCAGACGAUGAGCUGCAUUUGGGAAUGCCGCAAACGCCGAUUAGGUAAGCGUAUGCAUUUUAUAUCUUACAAAUAAAAAAAGAAAAAAAAAAUUUAAAAAUUCCCUUGUCUAGGAGAUGAUCAUAAAAAUGUGGUGCUUGAGAUUGAUGGAUUGGAUUAUACGGGUCCAUAAAGCAUUUAUCAGGAAAAAAAAGUAGAGAUGUGAAUGAUAUCUCUUUUCUUUUCUGGAAAAUAAAAUUAUAGUUCUUUAUUAUUUCCUGGGAAAAAUGCUCUUCCUGGAGCAUGUGACCCAUUUGGUCGUUUACUGCCCCAAAAUCAGUCAAUUGCUUGUCCAUUCUCAUUGGACCAAGAAGACCUUUAUUCGCGAGUUGUUCUACAGAUGGCGCUAUCAAGAUAUCGCCAAAUGUGGAUGGGCCAAAAGCUACACCCUGCUACCAAAGAGACUGCCAAUUUCUGACGAAUGAGUCUAUAUAUAUGCUAUAAAAUAGUACGUCUUUA